Molecule: ribosomal RNA, 1358 nt
Filed under: uncultured bacterium
Lineage: Bacteria
Description: bacterial SSU rRNA
Rfam family: Bacterial small subunit ribosomal RNA
Source: RNAcentral
GAUGAACGCUAGCUACAGGCUUAACACAUGCAAGUCGAGGGGCAGCAUUUUAGUUUGCUUGCAAACUGAAGAUGGCGACCGGCGCACGGGUGAGUAACACGUAUCCAACCUGCCGAUAACUCCGGAAUAGCCUUUCGAAAGAAAGAUUAAUACCGGAUGGCAUACGAAUAUCGCAUGAUAUUUUUAUUAAAGAAUUUCGGUUAUCGAUGGGGAUGCGUUCCAUUAGUUUGUUGGCGGGGUAACGGCCCACCAAGACUACGAUGGAUAGGGGUUCUGAGGGGAAGGUCCCCCACAUUGGAACUGAGACACGGUCCAAACUCCUACGGGAGGCAGCAGUGAGGAAUAUUGGUCAAUGGGCGAGAGCCUGAACCAGCCAAGUAGCGUGAAGGAUGAAGGCUCUAUGGGUCGUAAACUUCUUUUAUAUGGGAAUAAAGUAUUCCACGUGUGGAAUUUUGUAUGUACCAUAUGAAUAAGGAUCGGCUAACUCCGUGCCAGCAGCCGCGGUAAUACGGAGGAUCCGAGCGUUAUCCGGAUUUAUUGGGUUUAAAGGGAGCGUAGGUGGAUUGUUAGUCAGUUGUGAAAGUUUGCGGCUCAACCGUAAAAUUGCAGUUGAAACUGGCAGUCUUGAGUACAGUAGAGGUGGGCGGAAUUCGUGGUGUAGCGGUGAAAUGCUUAGAUAUCACGAAGAACUCCGAUUGCGAAGGCAGCUCACUAGACUGUCACUGACACUGAUGCUCGAAAGUGUGGGUAUCAAACAGGAUUAGAUACCCUGGUAGUCCACACAGUAAACGAUGAAUACUCGCUGUUUGCGAUAUACAGUAAGCGGCCAAGCGAAAGCAUUAAGUAUUCCACCUGGGGAGUACGCCGGCAACGGUGAAACUCAAAGGAAUUGACGGGGGUCCGCACAAGCGGAGGAACAUGUGGUUUAAUUCGAUGAUACGCGAGGAACCUUACCCGGGCUUAAAUUGCAACAGAAUAUAUUGGAAACAGUAUAGCCGUAAGGCUGUUGUGAAGGUGCUGCAUGGUUGUCGUCAGCUCGUGCCGUGAGGUGUCGGCUUAAGUGCCAUAACGAGCGCAACCCUUAUCUUUAGUUACUAACAGGUCAUGCUGAGGACUCUAGAGAGACUGCCGUCGUAAGAUGUGAGGAGGGUGGGGAUGACGUCAAAUCAGCACGGCCCUUACGUCCGGGGCUACACACGUGUUACAAUGGGGGGUACAGAAGGCGGCUACCUGGUGACAGGAUGCUAAUCCCAAAAACCUCUCUCAGUUCGGAUCGAAGUCUGCAACCCGACUUCGUGAAGCUGGAUUCGCUAGUAAUCGCGCAUCAGCCAUGGCGCGGUGAAUACGUUCCCGGGCCU